CAGCCGCCGCGGUAAUACCGGCGGCCCGAGUGGCGGUCACUAUUAUUGGGCUUAAAGCGUCCGUAGCCGGGUUGGGAAGUCCUCCGGGAAAUCUGGCCGCUUAACGGUCAGAAUUCCGGGAGAUACUGCCAGCCUAGGGACCGGGAGAGGCCGAGGGUAUUCCCGGAGUAGGGGUGAAAUCCUAUAAUCCCGGGAGGACCACCUGUGGCGAAGGCGCUCGGCUGGAACGGGUCCGACGGUGAGGGACGAAGGCCAGGGGAGCAAACCGGAUUAGAUACCCGGGUAGUCCUGGCUGUAAACGAUGCGGACUUUGUGUCGGACAAGCUAUGAGCUUGUCCGGUGCCGGAGGGAAACCGUUAAGUCCGCCGCCUGGGGAGUACGGCCGCAAGGCUGAAACUUAAAGGAAUUGGCGGG
This 414-nucleotide ribosomal RNA is filed under the name uncultured microorganism. Its description in RNAcentral is "bacterial SSU rRNA". It matches the Rfam family "Archaeal small subunit ribosomal RNA", at positions 459 to 872 of the family's 1478-position model. The record is from RNAcentral.